This 429-nucleotide ribosomal RNA is filed under the name Bacteroidota bacterium. RNAcentral describes it as "Bacteroidetes bacterium partial 16S ribosomal RNA". It matches the Rfam family "Bacterial small subunit ribosomal RNA", at positions 355 to 776 of the family's 1533-position model. The record is from RNAcentral. Lineage: Bacteria; Pseudomonadati; Bacteroidota.
UAGGGAAUCUUCCGCAAUGGACGCAAGUCUGACGGAGCAACGCCGCGUGAGUGAAGAAGGAUUUCGGUUCGUAAAACUCUGUUGUUAGAGAAGAACAGCGCAUAGAGUAACUGUUAUGCGUGUGACGGUAUCUAACCAGAAAGCCACGGCUAACUACGUGCCAGCAGCCGCGGUAAUACGUAGGUGGCAAGCGUUGUCCGGAUUUAUUGGGCGUAAAGCGAGCGCAGGCGGUCAAUUAAGUCUGAUGUGAAAGCCCCCGGCUCAACCGGGGAGGGUCAUUGGAAACUGGUUGACUUGAGUGCAGAAGAGGGGAGUGGAAUUCCAUGUGUAGCGGUGAAAUGCGUAGAUAUAUGGAGGAACACCAGUGGCGAAGGCGACUCUCUGGUCUGUAACUGACGCUGAGGUUCGAAAGCGUGGGUAGCAAACAGG